RNAcentral lists this ribosomal RNA (252 nucleotides) under uncultured bacterium. RNAcentral's name for it is "partial 16S ribosomal RNA". It matches the Rfam family "Bacterial small subunit ribosomal RNA", at positions 524 to 776 of the family's 1533-position model. The record is from RNAcentral.
UACGUAGGGGGCUAGCGUUAUCCGGAAUUACUGGGCGUAAAGGGUGCGUAGGUGGUUUCUUAAGUCAGAGGUGAAAGGCUACGGCUCAACCGUAGUAAGCCUUUGAAACUGGGGAACUUGAGUGCAGGAGAGGAGAGUGGAAUUCCUAGUGUAGCGGUGAAAUGCGUAGAUAUUAGGAGGAACACCAGUUGCGAAGGCGGCUCUCUGGACUGUAGCUGACACUGAGGCACGAAAGCGUGGGGAGCAAACAGG